This 420-nucleotide long non-coding RNA is filed under the name Dunaliella salina. RNAcentral describes it as "long non-coding RNA (DSAL_LNC000513)". The record is from RNAcentral. Lineage: Eukaryota; Viridiplantae; Chlorophyta; Chlorophyceae; Chlamydomonadales; Dunaliellaceae.
UCCUGUACCACGUAGUUAGGAGUUGCAACGCACACGUGAGAAGCUUCUCCCAAAAGGAAAUAAAUGAGGUUCCCUACUUGUUACCUGGUGUGCCUUUUGCGUGCAGCUUUUUUUCUGUUGCCUGCUGUGGCUUGCUUGGGUCAUGCUGAGAGUGAGGGCAGAGWUUGUUGUGACUGUCUUCUGUCAUGGUCAACUUGCUGUGCGCUUUUGGCACACACAGGCAACAAAGGAGACGGAAGGGGCGGGAGCGAUGGCCGUGUUGGCGGCAACAACACUGGCACAGGUGCAAGGGAGCAUGCACAUGAGUUGCUUUUUGUGUGCAGCUUUUUUCCCCUGUAGCCUGCUGUGGCUUGCGCAAGCAUGCUGAGUCAUGCUGAGGGUGAGGGUGGAGUUUGGUGCACAAUGCCUUCUGUCAUGGCC